This 21-nucleotide non-coding RNA is filed under the name Caenorhabditis elegans. Lineage: Eukaryota; Metazoa; Nematoda; Chromadorea; Rhabditida; Rhabditidae. The record is from RNAcentral.
UAGAUCAAUUUUGUUAUUUUC